Molecule: ribosomal RNA, 463 nt
Filed under: uncultured bacterium
Lineage: Bacteria
Description: bacterial SSU rRNA
Rfam family: Bacterial small subunit ribosomal RNA
Source: RNAcentral
GACGAACGCUGGCGGCGUGCCUAAUACAUGCAAGUCGAGCGGACUUGACAGGAAAGCUUGCUUUCCUGUCGGUCAGCGGCGGACGGGUGAGUAACACGUGGGCAACCUGCCUGUAAGACCGGGAUAACUCGCGGAAACGCGGGCUAAUACCGGAUAGUUCCUCUUGCCGCAUGGCAAGAGGAGGAAAGAGGGCGCAAGCUCUCACUUACAGAUGGGCCCGCGGCGCAUUAGCUAGUUGGUAGGGUAACAGCCUACCAAGGCGACGAUGCGUAGCCGACCUGAGAGGGUGAUCGGCCACAUUGGGACUGAGACACGGCCCAAACUCCUACGGGAGGCAGCAGUAGGGAAUCUUCCGCAAUGGACGAAAGUCUGACGGAGCAACGCCGCGUGAGCGAAGAAGGUCUUCGGAUCGUAAAGCUCUGUUGUCAGGGAAGAACAAGUACCGUUCGAUAAGGGCGGUACC